Molecule: ribosomal RNA, 457 nt
Filed under: uncultured bacterium
Lineage: Bacteria
Description: bacterial SSU rRNA
Rfam family: Bacterial small subunit ribosomal RNA
Source: RNAcentral
UACGGGAGGCAGCAGUGGGGAAUAUUGCACAAUGGGCGCAAGCCUGAUGCAGCCAUGCCGCGUGUAUGAAAAAGGCCUUCGGGUUGUAAAGUACUUUCAGUCGUGAGGAAGGUGUUAAGGUUAAUAACCUUAGCAAUUGACGUUAGCGACAGAAGAAGCACCGGCUAACUCCGUGCCAGCAGCCGCGGUAAUACGGAGGGUGCGAGCGUUAAUCGGAAUUACUGGGCGUAAAGGGCACGCAGGCGGUUAAUUAAGUUGGAUGUGAAAUCCCCGGGCUUAACCUGGGAAUGGCAUUCAAGACUGGUUAGCUAGAGUCUUGUAGAGGGGGUAGAAUUCCAUGUGUAGCGGUGAAAUGCGUAGAGAUGUGGAGGAAUACCGGUGGCGAAGGCGGCCCCUGGACAAAGACUGACGCUCAUGUGCGAAAGCGUGGGGAGCAAACGAGGGAUUUAGAUACCCG